AUACGUAGGGGGCGAGCGUUGUCCGGAAUGAUUGGGCGUAAAGGGCGCGUAGGCGGCUUUGCAAGUCAGUAGUGGAAGUCCAUUUUUCAAGGAUGGAAGUGCUACAGAAACUGCGGAGCUUGAGUGCAGGAGAGGUUAUCGGAAUUCCCGGUGUAGCGGUGAAAUGCGUAGAGAUCGGGAGGAACACCAGUGGCGAAGGCGGGUAACUGGACUGCAACUGACGCUGAGGCGCGAAAGCGUGGGGAGCAAACAGGAUUAGAUACCCUGGUAGUCCACACUGUAAACGAUGAAUGCUAGGUGUAGGAGGUAUCGACCCCUUCUGUGCCGCAGUAAACACAGUAAGCAUUCCGCCUGGGGAGUACGGUCGCAAGAUUAAAACUCAAAUGAAUUGGCGGGG
This 397-nucleotide ribosomal RNA is filed under the name uncultured bacterium. Its description in RNAcentral is "partial 16S ribosomal RNA". It matches the Rfam family "Bacterial small subunit ribosomal RNA", at positions 523 to 918 of the family's 1533-position model. The record is from RNAcentral.